Labrus bergylta (ballan wrasse) is the source of this 98-nucleotide small nucleolar RNA. Its record names the gene SNORD21. It matches the Rfam family "Small nucleolar RNA SNORD21". From Rfam's summary of the family: U21 is a member of the C/D class of snoRNA which contain the C (UGAUGA) and D (CUGA) box motifs. U21 is encoded within an intron of the gene for ribosomal protein L5 in mammals, but within introns of the ADP ribosylation factor gene in Drosophila. The record is from Ensembl. Lineage: Eukaryota; Metazoa; Chordata; Actinopteri; Labriformes; Labridae.
UCUUGAUGAUGAUAAAAGCACGCUGAGCAAAAUGUAGUUGGUCCUUCAUUUGCAUUAGCUGAUGUUCACUGUCCUUUCAAGACGGGGCUGAGAGAAGC